Molecule: ribosomal RNA, 492 nt
Filed under: uncultured bacterium
Lineage: Bacteria
Description: partial 16S ribosomal RNA
Rfam family: Bacterial small subunit ribosomal RNA
Source: RNAcentral
AUUGAACGCUGGCGGCAUGCUUUACACAUGCAAGUCGAACGGUAACAGGCCUUCGGGUGCUGACGAGUGGCGCACGGGUGAGUAAUGCAUCGGAACGUGCCCAGAGGUGGGGGAUAACGCAGCGAAAGCUGUGCUAAUACCGCAUGUGAUCUGAGGAUGAAAGCGGGGGACCAGGCAGCAAUGUUUGGCCUCGCGCCUUUGGAGCGGCCGAUGUCAGAUUAGGUAGUUGGUGGGGUAAAGGCCUACCAAGCCGACGAUCUGUAGCUGGUCUGAGAGGACGACCAGCCACACUGGGACUGAGACACGGCCCAGACUCCUACGGGAGGCAGCAGUGGGGAAUUUUGGACAAUGGGCGCAAGCCUGACCCAGCAAUGCCGCGUGCGGGAAGAAGGCCUUCGGGUUGUAAACCGCUUUUGUACGGAACGAAAAGGCUCUGGCUAAUACCUGGGGCUGAUGACGGUACCGUAAGAAUAAGCACCGGCUAACUACGUG